UUAAGUCCCGCAACGAGCGCAACCCUCACUUUUAGUUGCCAUCAUUUAGUUGGGCACUCUGAAAGAACUGCCAGUGAUAAGCUGGAGGAAGGUGGGGAUGACGUCAAGUCCUCAUGGCCCUUACGUGUUGGGCUACACACGUGCUACAAUGGUAUCUACAAAAGGAUGCAAAAUGGCGACAUUAAGCAAAUCCUUAAAAGAUACCUCAGUUCGGAUUGCACUCUGCAACUCGAGUGCAUGAAGCUGGAAUUACUAGUAAUCGUGGAUCAGCGUGCCACGGUGAAUACGUUCCCGGGUCUU
RNAcentral lists this ribosomal RNA (300 nucleotides) under uncultured bacterium. RNAcentral's name for it is "bacterial SSU rRNA". It matches the Rfam family "Bacterial small subunit ribosomal RNA", at positions 1080 to 1382 of the family's 1533-position model. The record is from RNAcentral.